RNAcentral lists this ribosomal RNA (440 nucleotides) under uncultured bacterium. RNAcentral describes it as "partial 16S ribosomal RNA". It matches the Rfam family "Bacterial small subunit ribosomal RNA", at positions 338 to 795 of the family's 1533-position model. The record is from RNAcentral.
CCUACGGGAGGCAGCAGUGGGGAAUAUUGCACAAUGGGGGGAACCCUGAUGCAGCGACGCCGCGUGAGUGACGAAGCAUUUCGGUACGUAAAGCUCUAUCAGCAGGGAAGACAAUGACGGUUCCUUACUAAGAAGCCCCGGCUAAAUACGUGCCAGCAGCCGCGGUAAUAACUAGGGGGGAAGCGUUAUCCGGAUUUUCUGGGUGGAAAGGGAGCGUAGACGGAAGCGCCAGGCUGGAGUGAAAGCCCAGGGCGUAACCAUGGGACUGCUUUGGAAACUGUGCAGCUGGAGUGCAGGAGAGGCAAGCGGAAUUCCUGGUGUAGCGGUGAAAUGCGUAGAUAUUAGGAGGAACACCAGUGGCGAAGGCGGCUUGCUGGACUGUAACUGACGUUGAGGCUCGAAAGCGUGGGGAGCAAACAGGAUUAGAUACCCGGGUAGUC